This 477-nucleotide ribosomal RNA is filed under the name uncultured bacterium. RNAcentral describes it as "partial 16S ribosomal RNA". It matches the Rfam family "Bacterial small subunit ribosomal RNA", at positions 28 to 507 of the family's 1533-position model. The record is from RNAcentral.
GAUGAACGCUGGCGGCGUGCCUAAUACAUGCAAGUCGAGCGAACAGACGAGGAGCUUGCUCCUCUGACGUUAGCGGCGGACGGGUGAGUAACACGUGGAUAACCUACCUAUAAGACUGGGAUAACUUCGGGAAACCGGAGCUAAUACCGGAUAAUAUAUUGAACCGCAUGGUUCAAUAGUGAAAGACGGUUUUUCUGGAACUUGUAGAUGGAUGCGCGCCGCAUUAGCUAGUUGGUAAGGUAACGGCCUACAAAGGCAACGAUGCGUAGCCGGACUGAGAGGGUGACCGGACACAUUGGGAAUGAGAUAAGGCCCAGACUCCUACGGGAGGCAGAAGUGGGGAAGAUUGCAGAAUGGGCGGAAGCCUGAUGCAGAAACGCGGCGUGCGGGAUGACGGCAUUCGGGUUGUAAACCGCUUUAGACGGUAACGCAGCGUGAGUUAAGGUAAUGGGUAAGGAAGCAACGGCUAACUACGUG